This 468-nucleotide ribosomal RNA is filed under the name uncultured bacterium. Its description in RNAcentral is "partial 16S ribosomal RNA". It matches the Rfam family "Bacterial small subunit ribosomal RNA", at positions 28 to 507 of the family's 1533-position model. The record is from RNAcentral.
GACGAACGCUGGCGGCGUGCUUAACACAUGCAAGUCGAACGGAAAGGCCCUGCUUUUGUGGGGUUCUCGAGUGGCGAACGGGUGAGUAACACGUGAGUAACCUGCCCUUGACUUUGGGAUAACUUCAGGAAACUGGGGCUACUACCGGAUAGGAGCUCCUGCUGCAUGGUGGGGGUUGGAAAGUUUCGGCGGUUGGGGAUGGACUCGCGGCUUAUCAGCUUGUUGGUGGGGUAGUGGCUUACCAAGGCUUUGACGGGUAGCCGGCCUGAGAGGGUGACCGGCCACAUUGGGACUGAGAUACGGCCCAGACUCCUACGGGAGGCAGCAGUGGGGAAUAUUGCACAAUGGGCGGAAGCCUGAUGCAGCAACGCCGCGUGCGGGAUGACGGCCUUCGGGUUGUAAACCGCUUUCGCCUGUGACGAAGCGUGAGUGACGGUAAUGGGUAAAGAAGCACCGGCUAACUACGUG